Molecule: long non-coding RNA, 1253 nt
Filed under: Sinocyclocheilus grahami
Lineage: Eukaryota; Metazoa; Chordata; Actinopteri; Cypriniformes; Cyprinidae
Description: lncRNA (ENSSGRG00000003533.1)
Source: RNAcentral
UAGUGCAAAGAGCUUAUUUAGACUGAUAUGUGGGGGCGUGUUAGAAUGUAGGCUUUUCUAAAACCCAACCCGGGCAGGGUUGUGUGCCUGAUGGGCUGCGUGUAUUGCUGCAGGGUCGUCUGGGUCGUACACCCUCUCUCACGCAGGAGACGCCUACCUCGGGCUGCGCUCACUUGACGGGGAUGGCGUCAGCGUCACUCCCGCUGUGCAGCAGCAGCAGCAGCAGGUAGGCACUGAGGACGGCGCCUCAAUGCCCUUCCUCUUCCAUACCUGCUCACAGUGUAGUGCUCUCUUCCCCUUUCCCCAAAGCUACAGCCCCAACCCAUGACAUCCACCUUAGCGGAUACUUAGAAGUGUAGAGCUCUACCCUGGAAACGAACUCCACCAUCUUCCCUGUGGCAUUGCUUCAUUUCAUUUCUUCUGUCAUGUCCUUGGCCAUUCCUUUGUCUCCUUCCUGUUAGAUGAACGCUUUUCAUCAAGGGCUCAACAGUAAGGAUGUACUACUGAUGUUUUGGGUGGAUAUCCUGCACCAUGUUACACACCCGACGGCAGGCUAUGAAGAUCUGUCAGGAAGUCCUCUUUACACCCCACACCAUCUAAACGUGAGUACAGCACUGACACACACACACACACACACACACAUUCUCAAGCAACAGACUGCUUGUUAAAAGAAAAAUUAAACCAUUUGCUAUUUGAGUAAAAGUUAGAACCUGGAAUGAUUUUCAGUUAAAUCUCACAAACCGCAUUAAUCUGAUGAGAAUCUCUGUUGCUCUUUGUGUUGACGUAGACCUAAAGAUCACUUGAAGGUCUGAUGUCUGCAAUUUGUGGCUUGUAUGUUUCCUGUUUCAACACGUUUUAUGUUCUGGUGUGAAUACUCUCUAGAUGCUUAUCAGUCAGCUGCAGCUAAAUACUGUUACUGUGUGGACACACUAUUUGAACAAACCCCUAACACUAAGAAUUAAAUCAAUUUUUACAGAAAUUAUUUUUUGCAAUUUGUUUCUUAAAUAAUUUUAGGGAUGCACCGAUAACACUUUUUCCAGUACUCGCCCGAUACCGAUACUUUUAUUUUUGGUACUUGCCGAUACAGAGUACCGAUACCAAUAUUUUCAUUGCAUUUGUAAAUUUUUUUUAAAUAUUGGGUACAGAAACCAAAAGAGUAUGUGUAAUGUUAGUUGGUUAACUUCAUUUAUCAAAUAUAUUCAGACAGCUGUUAGUAUGACAGUAUUUACAAAACUAUCAAUACUUAGUCGGGC